This 429-nucleotide ribosomal RNA is filed under the name uncultured archaeon. RNAcentral describes it as "bacterial SSU rRNA". It matches the Rfam family "Archaeal small subunit ribosomal RNA", at positions 146 to 576 of the family's 1478-position model. The record is from RNAcentral.
UUAAUACUGGAUAGAUCAAAGAUACUGGAAUGUUCUUUGUUCGAAAGCUCCGGCGCCCAAGGAUGGGUCUGCGGCCUAUCAGGUAGUAGUGGGUGUAACGUACCUACUAGCCUACGACGGGUAAGGGUUGUGAGAGCAAGAGCCCUGAGAUGGAUUCUGAGACAUGAAUCCAGGCCCUACGGGGUGCAGCAGGCGCGAAGACUUUACACUGCGGGAAACCGCGAUAAGGGGACCCCGAGUGCCAGCACCUAGUGCUGGCUGUCCAGCUGUUCAAAAAACAGUUGUUAGCAAGGGCCGGGCAAGACCGGUGCCAGCCGCCGCGGUAACACCGGCGGCCCGAGUGGUAGCCGUUAUUAUUGGGUUUAAAGGGUCCGUAGCCGGCCUAUUAAGUCUCUUGGGAAAUCUGGCGACUCAAUCGUCAGGCGUUCA